ACGCACUGAUCACAGGUUGCCAUCCAGACAUAUACACCACAGACAACUAGAGAUCCUUUUUCAGGGGUGAUUCGCGAAAGACUGUUUGGGUGAGAUUACUUUGAGGAAGAUUCGGAAAUUGUGCAAAAGGAUCAUUUGUAAGAUUGGUAUCUUUGGAUCGGUGUUCAGAUUGGACGGCUGGAGAGGGAUCUGUUUGCAGGUUUUUCCACUGGUUCUCCUGGCAAUCUCCCACAACCACAACCCUGUGAGCAGCCUCUGGGCAGGUCGUGGCCUCAUGGCCCCUGGAAAAAUGACCUCACCAUUCCCGAUAGGCGCCCACGGUGAUGUCAAAUAGUGGGUUGCUGGUGAUCGAUCCCUGUUUGUCCAGCAAGAA
This is a non-coding RNA of Pseudonaja textilis, 373 nucleotides long. The record is from RefSeq and is a predicted model, not a curated record. NCBI's taxonomy places the organism in Eukaryota, Metazoa, Chordata, Lepidosauria, Squamata, Elapidae.